Sesamum indicum (sesame) is the source of this 625-nucleotide long non-coding RNA. RefSeq lists it as uncharacterized. Lineage: Eukaryota; Viridiplantae; Streptophyta; Magnoliopsida; Lamiales; Pedaliaceae. The record is from RefSeq and is a predicted model, not a curated record.
AUCAACUAACCCUCCUCUAACUCUCUCUCUCUCUCACAGCAUCUCCUCUAACUCUCUCUCUCACGGCCGAAGAAGAAAAGAAAGAAGAAAGCAAUCUCUAACUCUCUCUCUCUCUCGCAAGAGGCUUCGACCCGUUCGACACAGCUUUUUUUCAAUGUCAGUUUUCAUUCGAUAUCUGAUCUUGGUAUGAUAUCACUGGAGGUCCUUCAAAAGGAAGCUUAUAUGGAUUUGGAUGUAGCUCCUCAUCUACAAGCUCAAAGUUCAAUCAGUUCUACUCUUAAAGAAUCUGACCAGAAAAUUAAUGAGUUAACAAAAGUUGUGGAGGACAUGCGCUCUAAUGCUACAAAAAUGGAAGAAGAAUUUUCAAGACGAGAAGAAGAAAAUAGAAAAUUGUUUGAAAUUGCUCUUGAAGAAGCUCGAAAGAGGGAGGAAGAGGCUCGGAAGAGGGAAGCAGACCUACAAGAAUUAAUUCGAAAAUUACUUCAAGAUGUGGAAUACACAAACAAUCAAUUUGCUGAUGGGUCUGGACACUAGGAGCAACAAUAUUCCAGGAAAGAUGAUUAGUUUAUUUUUUUUGUUGGUUGUUAAUGACUUAGUUUAUAUUAGUGUUGUUGUAUUAUGAGUA